RNAcentral lists this transfer RNA (56 nucleotides) under Ictidomys tridecemlineatus (thirteen-lined ground squirrel). RNAcentral's name for it is "Spermophilus tridecemlineatus (thirteen-lined ground squirrel) tRNA". It matches the Rfam family "tRNA", at positions 9 to 63 of the family's 71-position model. Rfam says of the family: Transfer RNA (tRNA) molecules are approximately 80 nucleotides in length. Their secondary structure includes four short double-helical elements and three loops (D, anti-codon, and T loops). Lineage: Eukaryota; Metazoa; Chordata; Mammalia; Rodentia; Sciuridae. RNAcentral also lists the same sequence under 1 other name. The record is from Rfam by way of RNAcentral.
GGCUCAUUUGGUAGAGUGUUUGCCUUGCAUGCACAAGGCCUGGGUUCAAUCCCCAG